AGGAGCAACCGCUGAAAUCUGCAUGAAUAAAAAAAAUUGCAAUAAAUUCUGACUAUAGCGAUGUGAUUGUUGCAAAUCCUUUCAUUGGGAUAACAAUGUCAUGGAAGCAGCCCUACAGCCUACCCUGACCUUUAUUUUAAUUUUGUUCUUUUUAAGGAGGAUUAUGAUUCCAAAGACGUGGAGAAUCUCAAGUCCCCGGAAGAAAUACAACUGCAGACUUUCACUUUAAGUCUUUGAGAAGGGAAGUGUACGGAGUGUGGAGUUCUUCAUGCUGAUCGCACGCCACAGUGGAGAGCAGUAUCCUGACUUGUGAUGAGCUUCUUCUAGAGUAUAUCAAGGGGUGGUGUGACCUGUCUGUAGGUCAGAUUUUGGUAAAAGAGCAUCCACCAUAGAACUGUGAGCAGCUAACUGGAUAGUGAGCCCAACCUUCGAGACCUCGAGUGGGAUUAAGAAGACUGUUUCUAAGGAAGAACUUCCUUCGCUACUUAGAGCAGAAGCACAGAUGAAACAGAAACACACACCUGGAUUGAGCCCCAAUGAAAAAGACUGGGCUUACACACUUCAAAUGUUUGUUUUAUUUCAUGUGCACACUUUAUUAAAUUAGUUGUUAAUUGCAUUAGUAAAUUGUAUAUUGUAAUCUUGUCCUGCAAUAUUUGUGUUCCUUACAUACAAAUGUAUUCCUGUGUGCGUCUCUUGACUGGUGUUCAGACCUUGGGCUCCAGGAGUCCUAGUCUUCUGAUGUUUGUCCACCUUCAACACUUUAUUUACAGUAACAUGGGUUAACAUAACGUAAUAUGGUAGCUAUGACACACCAAAUGUUAUAAUCUUGUUAACCGUUAACGUUAAAGAUAACUUAUCUUUUUAGUGGCUUUUUCUUUUCAAACUGUUUGAGUGGAAGUUCAAUAGACCUCCGUUCUGUGUCUGCGUUUACUUGAACGUUAGACCCU
This is a non-coding RNA of Labrus bergylta (ballan wrasse), 947 nucleotides long. Lineage: Eukaryota; Metazoa; Chordata; Actinopteri; Labriformes; Labridae. The record is from RefSeq and is a predicted model, not a curated record.